Molecule: ribosomal RNA, 1363 nt
Filed under: metagenome
Description: bacterial LSU rRNA
Rfam family: Bacterial large subunit ribosomal RNA
Source: RNAcentral
CAAACAAUGCUGGGGUACGAUGCGGAGCGAAAUUUAGUAGCGAAGUAGCUGAUUUCACACUGUCGAGAAAAGUCUCUAUCGAGGUUAAAGGUGCCUGUACCGCAAACCGACACAGGUGGGUGAGGAGAGUAUCCUAAGGCCAGCGAGAGAACUGUUGUUAAGGAACUCGGCAAAAUGACCCCGUAACUUCGGGAGAAGGGGUGCCUUCGAAAGAAGGCCGCAGAGAAUAGGCCCAAGCGACUGCUUACCAAAAACAUAGGUUUCUGCUAAGUCGCAAGACGAUGUAUAGGAGCUGGCGCCUGCCCGGUGCUGGAAGGUUAAGGGGAUCUGUUAGAGCAAUCGAAGCAGUGAACUUAAGCCCCAGUAAACGGCGGCCGUAACGAUAACGGUCCUAAGGUAGCGAAAUUCCUUGUCGGGUAAGUUCCGACCCGCACGAAAGGCGUAACGAUUUGGGCACUGUCUCAACAACAGACUCGGUGAAAUUGUAAUACCGGUGAAGAUGCCGGUUACCUGCGUCAGGACGGAAAGACCCCAUGGAGCUUUACUGUAGCUUGACAUUGAGUCUCGGUGCUACAUGUACAGGAUAGGUGGGAGACUGUGAAGCAUGGACGUCAGUCUGUGUGGAGUCAUCCUUGGGAUACCACCCUUGCAGUACUGGGAUUCUAACCAGAGGCCAUGAAUCUGGUCUUGGGACACUGUCAGGUGGACAGUUUGACUGGGGCGGUCGCCUCCCAAAAAGUAACGGAGGCGCUCAAAGGUUCUCUCAGUACGGUCGGAAAUCGUACGAAGAGUGUAAAGGCAAAAGAGAGCUUGAUUGCAAGACAUACAGGUCGAGCAAGGACGAAAGUCGGACUUAGUGAUCCGGUGGUUCCGCAUGGAAGGGCCAUCGCUCAACGGAUAAAAGCUACCCUGGGGAUAACAGGCUGAUCUCCCCCAAGAGUCCACAUCGACGGGGAGGUUUGGCACCUCGAUGUCGGCUCAUCACAUCCUGGGGCUGUAGUAGGUCCCAAGGGUUGGGCUGUUCGCCCAUUAAAGUGGUACGCGAGCUGGGUUCAGAACGUCGUGAGACAGUUCGGUCCCUAUCCGUCGCAGGCGUAGGAAAUUUGAGGAGACCUGUCCUUAGUACGAGAGGACCGGGAUGGACGUACCGCUGGUGUACCAGUUGUUCUGCCAAGGGCAUGGCUGGGUAGCUAAGUACGGAAAGGAUAAGCGCUGAAAGCAUCUAAGCGCGAAGCCCACUUCAAGAUAAGAUUUCCCACCGCAAGGUUAAGAUCCCAGGAAGACUACCUGGUUGAUAGGUCAGAGGUGUAAGUGCAGUAAUGUAUUUAGCUUACUGAUACUAAUAGAUCGAGGACUUGACCAA